Microcebus murinus (gray mouse lemur) is the source of this 1258-nucleotide non-coding RNA. The record is from RefSeq and is a predicted model, not a curated record. NCBI's taxonomy places the organism in Eukaryota, Metazoa, Chordata, Mammalia, Primates, Cheirogaleidae.
GAUCCGGAAGUGGCGCUUCAGGGAGAGGGUUGCUGCGGGUGACGGGCUGCAACGCCAGCGUUCCCGAGGUGGGGGUCCGGCCUAGGUGGGGAAGCACGGAGGAUCACAGGUCCAAAGCGGAGGAACAAAACGGACCUAGUACUUAAAGCCCUGAAAUAAGAGAAGUUAUUGUUUCUCUUGGGAAAUGGAUGGACUGGGAAGAGGAACUUGGGUUCAGUAGGGAAAGCAGAAGCAAUAGGCCGCAGCAUUUUUUUUUCCUGAAGAAAAUCAGCAGGUCAACAGGAUAGCUAGAAUGGGCUAGAGUUGGGUAUUUCCAUUCCCUUAGGUUACAUCUGUAACAAAACACAUGGCAAAAUGAGGAAGACCAGACAUAAAAAUGUUAAGUGAACUUCCUGUGGUCAUAGCCAAUCAACCCAAGCCUUCUGACUUCAUUGCUCCCUUUUUGAGAAGGAAAAAAAGAAACAGAAAAGGAAAACCAUUAAUUACUACAAUCAAUAGAGCAACUAAGUUUUCCAGAUUCAUACCCAUCAGAUUGACAUUUUUAAUGUCUAUUGUCAAUGAAUAAAAUUAUAGGAACUAGUGUAUUGUUAGUAAGAAUGCCACAGUGGAUAGGAAUUUAGAAAUAUCUAGCAGAGUUGAAGAUACAUAUACCCUGGAACCCAACAAUUCCAUGUAUAAAUAUAUAGCAACUCUUGCAUAUGUGCACACUGAAAUUUAACAGUAUUUUAUAGCAUUGUUUAUAAAGGCUGAGUGUCCGUAUUCAAAUUUCUUGGGAGGUGUUUCAGAUGUCAGGUUUUUUUAGAUUUUGGAAUAUAUAUAUGUAUUAUACUUACGACUUAAGCAUCCCUAAUCUCAAAAUCCAAAAUCCUCCAGUGAACAUUUCCUUUGAACAUCAUGUUGGUGCUCAAACAGUUUCAGAUUUUGGAGCAUUUUGGAUUUUUGGAUUAUGAAUACUCAACAUGUAUUAGUAAAACAGGGGAAACAAUUGAAAUGUCAACAGGAAAAUGGUUAACUAAACUGUGGCAUAUUUAGGCUGGGUACGGUAGCUCAUGCCUGUUAUCCUAGCACUUUAGGAGGCCAAGGCAGGAGGAUCACUUGAGGCCAGGAGUUUGAGACCAGCCUGAGCAAGAGCAAGACCUCAUCUCCACAAAAAAAGAAAACUUAGCUGUCUAUGGUGGCACAAAUCUGUAAUUUCAGCUACUGGGGAGGCUGAGGCAGGAGAAUCGCUUGAGUCCAAGAGUUCAAGGCUGCAGUGAGC